UGAGCAGAAUGGUUCAAGGAGGAGCAGAUGGAAACAGCUGCCAACAGAUGAGUACUGGAAUGGAUUCAAGCCACACUGCUUGCUGGAACUUGAGAAUUUUUGAUGGCCUGAGCAUUCCCAACCACAGUGUAUGGGCCUCCAGGUGCUGUCUGAAGACUGUGAAUAUUUUUGCUGUUUCUGCAUCAACAAGCCUUACAUUAUGGAAAGAUGAUAAAAUAGAACAUGGAGUUCACCAAGCAAUGAUUUCAGGAAGAAAUGUAGUUAAAUUUUUUCCCAGCAGAUGUGGCUGUUGGACCAGAAAAGGCUCAAGUGAAUCAGUGGGAGACCUUUACAAAGUUGGACUUCGAUGAAGAUGCUGAUUGGCCAGUCCUGCCUCAGAGUCUCCUCUGAUCCAUGGGAGCCUGGGCUGCUCCACAGAAUGGUCCUGUGCCUUGGCACUGAUUUAUCAUCCACCAUUACCCCAAGCUCAUGGAUGAGAAAGGAAUACCCAUGGCUGCUACCAUUCCUGCCCCUCUGGCUUCAG
This 523-nucleotide long non-coding RNA is filed under the name Taeniopygia guttata (zebra finch). Its description in RNAcentral is "lncRNA (ENSTGUG00000025730.1)". Lineage: Eukaryota; Metazoa; Chordata; Aves; Passeriformes; Estrildidae. The record is from RNAcentral.